AUUGAACGCUGGCGGCAUGCCUUACACAUGCAAGUCGAACGGCAGCACGGGGGCAACCCUGGUGGCGAGUGGCGAACGGGUGAGUAAUACAUCGGAACGUGCCCAGUAGUGGGGGAUAGCCCGGCGAAAGCCGGAUUAAUACCGCAUACGACCUACGGGUGAAAGCGGGGGACCGCAAGGCCUCGCGCUAUUGGAGCGGCCGAUGUCAGAUUAGGUUGUUGGGGGGGUAAAGGCCUACCAAGCCGACGAUCUGUAGCUGGUCUGAGAGGACGACCAGUCACACUGGGACUGAGACACGGCCCAGACUCCUACGGGAGGCAGCAGUGGGGAAUUUUGGACAAUGGGGGCAACCCUGAUCCAGCCAUGCCGCGUGCGGGAAGAAGGCCUUCGGGUUGUAAACCGCUUUUGUCAGGGAAGAAAUCCCUUGAGCUAAUACCUCGAGGGGAUGACGGUACCUGAAGAAUAAGCACCGGCUAACUACGUGCCAGCCGCCGCCGUAA
This 500-nucleotide ribosomal RNA is filed under the name uncultured bacterium. RNAcentral's name for it is "partial 16S ribosomal RNA". It matches the Rfam family "Bacterial small subunit ribosomal RNA", at positions 29 to 523 of the family's 1533-position model. The record is from RNAcentral.